AUUUGAUGAUGGGGACAGCUUGCGCACAGCUUCUUAAAUCUCUCCCAGUACUCAUACAAGCUCUUCACAUUGUACUGUCGAAUUCCACAAACUUUUUUUCUUAUGUU
Small nucleolar RNA from Hevea brasiliensis (rubber tree), 107 nucleotides. Lineage: Eukaryota; Viridiplantae; Streptophyta; Magnoliopsida; Malpighiales; Euphorbiaceae. The record is from RefSeq and is a predicted model, not a curated record.